RNAcentral lists this ribosomal RNA (860 nucleotides) under uncultured Neocallimastigales. RNAcentral's name for it is "partial large subunit ribosomal RNA". It matches the Rfam family "Eukaryotic large subunit ribosomal RNA", at positions 1 to 616 of the family's 3401-position model. Lineage: Eukaryota; Fungi; Neocallimastigomycota; Neocallimastigomycetes; Neocallimastigales. The record is from RNAcentral.
GAGAGAGACAUGCGCGCAUAUCAAUAAGCGGAGGAAAAGUCAACUACCUACGCUUAGGAUGUUGACGAGACUGUCGAUCUCAUCUAUACAUGACUCUGUGCAUAUCAAUAAGCGGAGGAAAAGAAACUAACUAGGAUUCCCUCAGUAACGGCGAGUGAAGCGGGAAGAGCUCAAAUUUGAAAUCCUUCAAGGGUUCUACCUUUACGAAUUGUAGUUUAAAGAAGUGUUUUCUGUUGAGGUUUUGGUAAAAGUUCUUUGGAAUAGGACAUCAUAGAGGGUGAGGAAUCCCGUAUUUGACCUUUACUUUCAACUUUGUGAUACACUUUCAGAGAGUCGGAUUGUUUGGGAAUGCAGUCCAAAAUGGGUGGUAAAUUUCAUCUAAAGCUAAAUAUUGGCGAGAGACCGAUAGCGAACAAGUACCGUGAGGGAAAGAUGAAAAGAACUUUGAAAAGAGAGUUAAACAGUACGUGAAAUUGUCAAAAGGGAAGCGUUUGACACCAGUGUUGUUUUUCUGAAAAUCAAUUAAAGAACUGUUUAUGCUAAGUUGUUUAGACUUUAUCAGCUAACUGUCUAGUUUUGAGCUUUUCUUUAAUGCACUUUCAGUUAACAAGUCAACAUCAAUUUCUUUUGCUGUAAAAAAGCUUGAGGAAGGUGGCUUGAGAUUCGUCUUAAGUGUUUAUAGCCUCUUGCCUAUGCAGUCGGAGAGAUUGAGGUCUGCAGCGUAGAUCCUUCGGGGCUAAAUGCAUUUGUGCUAAGUUAUAGCCUUUUCAUAGACAACUUGUUGACUAUGAUCUGUCAUGUAGCUUACUCGCUUAUGCUAUUUUACCUACGCUUAGGAUGUUGAGCGCAUGUCUCUCUCU